GAUACGCGAGGAACUUACCUGGGCUCGAACGUAAGAUGACUGUAGGUGAAAGCUUACAUCUCUUCGGAGCAUUUUACGAGGUGCUGCAUGGUUGUCGUCAGCUCGUGCCGUGAGGUGUCGGGUUAAGUCCCAUAACGAGCGCAACCCCUACCUUUAGUUGCCAUCAGGUUAAGCUGGGGACUCUAAAGGAACUGCCUACGCAAGUAGUGAGGAAGCGGGGAUGACGUCAAAUCAGCACGGCCCUUACGUCCAGGGCUACACACGUGCUACAAUGGCCGAUACAGAGGGCAGCUACCUGGUGACAGGAUGCAAAUCUCCAAAGUCGGUCUCAGUUCGGAUCGGAGUCUGCAACCCGACUCCGUGAAGUUGGAUUCGCUAGUAAUCGCGCAUCAGCCAUGGCGCGGUGAAUACGUUCCCGGGCCUU
RNAcentral lists this ribosomal RNA (424 nucleotides) under uncultured Sphingobacteriales bacterium. Its description in RNAcentral is "bacterial SSU rRNA". It matches the Rfam family "Bacterial small subunit ribosomal RNA", at positions 956 to 1382 of the family's 1533-position model. The record is from RNAcentral. Lineage: Bacteria; Pseudomonadati; Bacteroidota; Sphingobacteriia; Sphingobacteriales.